CCGGAGAGGCAGGCUGGGCAGUAACUCCUCUUGCUGACUGCACAGGGCCAUGCAACAGUUGGAGGCUUGUACUACACUCUGCUAAGGAGGUUCAGGGCAAGCAGCCUGCUAUCCCUAGCGAUGGGGAGACACGAACCAGAUCGGGAUCUGUUUGUUGUGCUGGAGCCUAGUAGGAGCCAUGCUCUCAGGUGAAGUCUCUGUAGGUUUUGAAGGUAAAUCUAUCCGGCAUCUUGCAAGAGAAGAUUCAGCAAGAGUGGAAGAGUACACGGUGCACAUACAGUCAUCCUCAACAGAUCCAUCUAGGAAGUUCCCUACUGCUGGAAAAUGGACCUAGACACAUCCAGUCAAAGAGAUCUCUCCUGGUGACCUGUGAAUGAAUGAACUCCCUCACAAAUAUUCAUAAGUUCUGUCCACCAGUCCAGGAAGGACAAAACCUGAGCUGGUACUUGAACCAUCUUGUCCAUGUGAUGAUGGGCCAGUAGUACACCGAGACUAUCCAAUGCUCUAGAUCUCUGAGGGGUAGAAAGACAUGCUGCACCACAUAAAUCAGUGGUUCCCAAACUGUGAUGUGCACCCACCCCCGGGCAGGGCUGGAGCAGCCCCCACAGGGGUGGGGAGGGUAGUACCACACUUCCAGCCCUGCUCUGCCCCCAGACCAGCUCUGCUUUUAGGCCCAGCUCUGCCCUCAUUCCCUCCCGACCCACAGACCAGCUCCGACCCAAGCCACAGCUCCAUUCCUCCCACCGGGCUCUCCUCUCAUUCCCUCUCUGCCCCCAGACCAGUUCCACGCCCCAGCUGCAGCUCCACUCUGCUCCCUUCUCUGCCCUUAUUCCCUCCCCACCCCCCAGACCCGCUCUGACCCCUGCUGGGCUCUGCCCUCAUUCUCUCUCUGCCCCCAGACCAGCUCUGAACCCAGCUGCAGCUCUAUUCCAGUCCCUGCUUCACCCCCAGGCUGGCUCCGCCCCCAGCUGCAGCUCCACUCCACCCUCUGCUCUGCCUUCAUUUCCUGUCUGCCCCAGACCAGCUCCGGCUCUAGCCACAGCUCCUCCCACAUCCCCAAUUCUGCCCCAGCUCUACCUUCUGGGAUAUUGUUUUCUUUUGGGGAAAGACAGGGAGUGUUUAAAAAUCAGUCAUAACAAGAAACUAGCUCCAUCCUUUACUGUGGAGUCCCUAUUGCCACAUCAAAAGAUGAGUCAAGAAAGCAGUUCUGCUGAGUAAGGAGUAAUUGUUUUUUACAUAGUCACUUUUCUGGCCAUACAUUUAAAAAGAAAGUUAUUAAAGUGUAUAGGAAAUAGCCACAAUCUUGUCUAAGGGCAGGUGCCCAUUGGAAUAGCCACAUUUAAAAUGUUACAGUAGUAUAAGUAGAUCAGCUAAUCCAUAUUCAGACAAUCUUCUCCCCAAAAGGCUUCAUGAAGAACUAUGCACAUGCCAAAUUAAGAUAGCCUUUUUUACAACAGAAAAAUAUAAAACGGUGCAAGUUUAUUUACUGCUUUGUUCAAGCAAAAACUGGCUUUGCCAAUUUAAAUUAAGUUUGACAGAAACAACUGCAAAAGUACAAUAUAACAAUAAAAAGAAAAAUCACAUGAACAGCAAUUCCAGAAAACCUUCACUGCUGCUAUUUAUUCUCUGUUCUGUUUAUUUUGCCAUUUUCUCUGGAUCUGAUUGUCCUGCACCUGGGAGCAGAAGAGCUGAGAGAAAGGUAAACUUGAGAAGCACAUUGCUCAGCAGCCAAGUUGUGGGGCAACUCUGACAACGAAGAAGAUUGUUGCUUUCUUUGUGUUCUAUCUAUAAUUGCAGGGGGAUAUAUUUCAUCUGUUGUGAACAUAUUUGUUCUUCCUCACACCUCAAAAGAAAAAACACUGGGCGUGUCGGUUGCUAACCAUUCCCAUAUAAGAAGGCAGAGGUAGGAAACCUCAGACUAAUUUCAGGACCAAUCUGAUCUUACUGAAAUCAGUGGCAAAAUUGUUUCAUGGAGUUCAGUAGGAGUUAAGAUCAGACCUCAAACCACAGAGAGCCAAGGUGGAAGCAAAUUACCAUAUGGUAGAAAGGAAGACCAGCUAGCAAUGGAGGUCUUUAGAUUGGAACAUUAUAUAUCAUAACGUUAUUUUCAAUUUUUCUAUUUGACUAUUUAUAAAUGUUAAGUGUAUACAUUCACAGACUUCUACUUUUUUACCUUCUGAAAGACACAACUCUAUUAAAAAAGCCUUACUGACAUUGACUUAAUGUGUCAGCUAAGGAUACAUGUUUUUAAACCCAAUCCAACCCAAAUUACAUGUGCCAAGACAUAAGAAAAAUAAAAUA
Long non-coding RNA from Trachemys scripta elegans, 2301 nucleotides. RefSeq lists it as uncharacterized. The record is from RefSeq and is a predicted model, not a curated record. Lineage: Eukaryota; Metazoa; Chordata; Testudines; Emydidae. The transcript is spliced from 3 exons.